This is a non-coding RNA of Oryctolagus cuniculus (rabbit), 4944 nucleotides long. Lineage: Eukaryota; Metazoa; Chordata; Mammalia; Lagomorpha; Leporidae. The record is from RefSeq and is a predicted model, not a curated record.
UUAGUGGGGAGCUGGAUCAAAAGUGGAGCAGUUGGGACUGGAACCGGCGCCCCUCGUGGGAUGCCUGCGCCAUGGAGGCGGCUUGACCUGCUGCACCACAACACCGGCCGCUGUGAUACGUUCUGAAAUCAGGAAGUGUGAUGCCUCCAUCAGAAAAGGAAGAGAUUCUGCCAUGGGUGACAGCGUGGAUCGACUUCAGGACACAGUGCUGAGACAAGCCGGGCACGGAAGGACAAAUCCUCGUGGGCUCACUCACACCUGGACGAUCCAGCUCUCUGCUAUGGCCUGGGAAAGCAGUAGAGGAUGGCCCAGGUGCUUGAGCCCCUGCACCCACGUGGGAGACCUGGAAGAAGCUCCUGGCUCCUGGCUUCGGAUUGGCGCAGCUACGGCCGUUGCAGCCAAUUGGGGAGUGAACCAGCAGAUGGAAGACCUUUGUCUUUGUAACUCUGCCUCUCAAAUAAAUAAAUGAAAUUUUUAAAAAAAAAGGGUGGGGGGAACCCAUACAGGCAGAGUCUAGAAUGGAGGUGUUGGGCUGGGGGCGGGGCUCUAUAGGUCAGCCCAGAGAGACGCAUUCUAGAGCCUGCUGGACAGCACCUCCCCCAUGGACACCAACCCCGUGUUCACGGCACGUCUCGAGUCUGUCAGAAGGAUAGUCCAAAGGCUGAGUGCCCUUCUCACAGCAGAAUUAAAACCAAAACUGAAGGAGCCGUGACCCACGGGGGUGCUGGGAGGGAGGGUCGCUCGCUCCCCUUCUGUCCAGUGGGGCUCAGGGCUGCCUCCCCCUGCCCGGGAGGCUCCUCCCAGCCCAGGGGGCCACAGCAGGGGCAGCUCCUCCUGGAGCAGAUUCUGGGGAAGCCCCCUGGUGGAGUGGGAGGGGACUUGGACAAAGCCCCCUUGUCUUUCCAGAUGGUUCCACUUAGGAUGUGGUUUCACUGGCAUCCGGAGUAAUUGACAGAUGCACUCGGGACCCCUUGUCCGAAAGCUCAGGUCCCAGGGAAGCCCGCGGCGGCGGCCGUGGAGCCCCGCAGCUGGCCAGGGCGCUCAGGUUCAACAGGGACUCCUGCCGCCAGCGCCCACGGAGGGUCUGACUCCGUGGCCCCUAGAACGCUGUGAACAACGGUCUCCGUCUUCGCCGACGGCACAAACCCCGCAGCUGCAGAGCUCGUAGGGCCGCACUCCGUGCUCCCCUGGAGACUUGGAGAAGUUAGGUUUUUUGCAAAACAUCGGUGCCUGCCCCCGACGUGCACUCCCUGCGUUUACAGGAUCCAUGAGAGCCUGAGCGCACCCCAGGGCCGGGGACUGCAUCUGGCUGCCGGCGGCUCCACCUGCAUUCCGCUGAGCUAGCACGGGGCGUCCUUAGAGCACACGUGUUCGUGGUGCAGGAAGUCUCAGUGCGCCAGUGCUUUGUUUACCCACGGGGCCACCGGGGCCACGGGAGAGCGAGGAAGGUGAGCCGGCCACCGGCGUCACCCGCGGGCGCCCAGGUCUAAUCUUUUACUUUAAUUCCGUAUAUUUAUAAAAAAUAGCUUCUAAUACUGCAAGAGGCAGCUGAUGUGACUAGCUAGGCACAGGGAAACUGAUCAUAAGAGCUGUGUAGAACCAAGGCACGGUCCCCCAUAGCCAGCCGGCAGGAGCUGGCUGGGGCCGUGGGUACCACGGGGACUGCGUCAGGCCGCCUCAGCGCUCCCAGCCCCCACGCAGCCCCCUCCAGAGACCACGCCUGUAGCUGGGCCGCCUGGUUCCAAGGGGCCUGGGGUCACGCCUGUGGACCGGGUGGGGAGCACAGACCCCACUCCCCUCAACUCAAGGAGCUCAAACUGCAGAGUUGGGUGAACCACCCCUCCCCACCACCACCAAAGAUCCCAGCAUCAUGUGGGACCCAGGAGGAAGUGGCUUCUGUGGGAAGGGUGUUGUGGGAGUGGGCGGGGUGGGGGCUGGAACUGCGGGGUCCCCGGCCACAUCAGCAGCAGCUGUCACAACCUGACCAAAAGCACGCGCGAACACCAGGGAGGGCGAACAGUCCGUGCUGGGGACGGCGCUGGGUGUUUGUUUUGGUCGUAUUGUUUAUCCAACGUUCCUUAAAAUGUCCCUCCAAAAAUUCACUGUGAAUAAGGAGGACACUGACUUAGCAGUGCCGUUGAGUUCUGAGACGGCAGCCGCACUGGCUGUGUCCUGCAUGCACUGCUCACGGUGGCUCAGGAGACCCCCUCCCCCCCGCCCCGGACAGGUCCUCUCAUCCAUCUUGGAGAGGAGGAGGCGACUGGCCAAGGCCACACCACUACCCCUGGCCAAGGUCAGUGCUAAAGCCGGUGGACCCUGGACGAGGGGCUCCCGAGCCUUCUCUGUGCUCGAGAGCUGUCUCCAUGGCUACUGCUCUCUGUAUCCGAGUCCCUUAGAAUAACUUAGCAACCAGAGUUAGAGAGCUCAACCAGAGUUAGAGAGCUCAGUCACAGUUCUUUGACUGCUUAAUUUGGAUGCCUCUUAUUCGAGAUACAAAGAUGUGUUACGUGGGACCAGCGUUGUGGCGUAGUGGUUUGAAUCACUGCCUGCAAAGCUGGCGUCCCAUAUGGGCGCCAGUUCGACUACCAGCUGCUCCACUUCCUUGCUAAUGUGCCUGGAAAAGCAGGGGAGGAUGGGCCAAGUCCUUGGGCCCCUGCACCCACGUGGGAGACCUGGCGAACGCUCCUGGCUCCUGGCUGCAGAUCGCCCAACUCCAGCCAUUGUGGCCAUUUGGGGAGUGAACCAGCGGAUAGAAGACCUCUGUCUCUUUCUCUCCGCAUCUCUAUAAGUCUGCCUUUCGGAUAAAAUAAGUAAAUCUUGAAAAUAUAUUUUAUUUUACCUUUGAAAGCCGUAGUGCAAUUACACCUCCAUGCACUGUGCCGGGGGUCCUGCACACCGGAGCUCCGAGACCACUGCCAGGGCCCCCAGGCAGCUGCAGCCAAGUCAGCUGUGAGACGGGAGGUCGGGGCUGUGAAACCUGGGCUGCAGCAGCACCCGGGGGGCUGGGCCUGAGCGGGAGGCCAGAGUGCUCCGCCGGGCGUGUCCGCGGUCUGGGCCAAGUUCCCGGGCGCCCAGGCCAGGGGCUGCAGGGGGUGGCGGUCCGUGCGCACCCACAGGUGAUUUGAAUCAAGUUCAAGGAGCUGCAGAACUUCAGGAGCCACAGCCACUCUUGGCCGGGAGCAGCCUGGGUGUGGGUGAGGGGUGGGAGCCGCCCACAGGGGCUGCCGGCCUGCGUCCCUACCCGCUGCAGAGUCCUGCGCCGUCUCGACGUCAAGACGUAGAGCGCCGUGAAACCCCCGGCAGACCCCCCCACCUGCGCCCUGAUUGUGGCUCCAGCCCCAGCCCGUGGUUCACGGCUGAUGGGGGCAGCCCUGGACACACAGAAAUCAUGGAGAAGGGACUUAAAUCCCCCGGUCACUUCACCACAGAGGGGCGGCCCCUUCCAAGUGCUGGGCCGUGCUGCCUCCUCAGCUGAUCCUUCUCUCUCGUCACCCUUCACGGGAACGCGCCCAGCUGUUACUUUAGACAAGUCCUCAAAUUCUAAAACCCAGACUGGCCUUCCUGUUAGGGUCUAAAAAAAAAAGCCCACCGCCCGAGGAACGACUCCAAGAGACUUUUUCUCUCAUGCAACCAGCAAAGGGUUAAAUUUAUUGAUCCAACAUGUUGGGGCCCUCUGACAAGGACAGAGGAGCAGUGAGGAACUACAGCAUAGGGUUUAUAAAGGCAAAAACCGCAAAAUCGGGAGGAGGGAGAGAAUACACGGUUGCUAAAAUCUUACAAUCAGCAAUUAUGAUUUUAAGACACAGACAAAUCACAUCUUCAUUAUUAGCCCAGGUAACCCAGGUGCAACCUUUCUACUUUUAAGCUUGAGCAAUCAUGCUAGGGGGUUUUUGUGCGUUGCCAAGGGUGGUGUAGUGCACUGCUAUUGUCCGACUAUUUGAGAUCAUAGUUUCAGACCAGAGUCUCACGGUGGGGGGGUGCAUUCCCAGAAUGGAGUCUCAAGUGCUCCAAAAUGGAGUCCCUACUGUCAAGGUGCUACUUUACUCUGUCUUAUUUUCACAGCUGCACCAGGAAGGUUUUUAAACCUGUAAGCUUAAGCUUAACUUUUGACACCCAUACAUAUACAAUUUUAACUCUUCAUUCCCCACUCCUUGUUGUGAGGAUCUCUAAUCUUAGAGAUUAUUCGUUUUUGUCUCUUUUAAUGUGACAUAUUGUUGUCUUACAACCAUGAGUUUAACAUUUUUAACUUGUUCCCACAUGAAGGUGAUGAGUCUAUUUUACACAUAAGGUCCUAUGGUUACAAUUAGGAGUAGAACAAUUAAGGGUCCUGUUAGGGCUGACAGUAGAGUAGUAAGCCAUGGGGACCGGCCGAACUAUGACUCAAACCAUCCCUGUUGAGUUUCCCUCUCCCGUUGCCGUUUUUUCAGUCAUUUUUUUGAGUUUAGCCAUGGAGUUUCUAACCACCUCAGUUUAGUUGACAUAAAAACAACAUUUUUUUUUUUUUUUUUUUUUUAGGGCCGCGCAUAACCCACCCCCAUGAAAAUGAGAUUUAACCCCCCCGCCUGUUCUGUAAUACUGAAAUGCAGAUACUGGGCUGCAUCUGGGAGAUUGUGGAAGAUUUGUCAGGCAGAAGGGGCAGGGACCCCCACCUGGCAGGUUAUCAGGUAGAAGCGGGCAGGGCAGGAUGCAAAGGCCAGGCUGCCCGUGAAACAUUGUCAGGAUGACUGAGAUGCAGAUGCAUAUGCUGGACACAUUAGGCCUUUAUGUCACACACACAUAAGCUCAUAACUGACUUUCUGCCUAAUAUUUUCCCCUCAAGAGGUAAUACCCAAAAUUCUUCUUUGGGAUUAUGGAUGGAGUUCCGUUUUCUGUAACUUCUUCGAAGCUGGCAUGUGGGCGUCGAGGGGGAUUUGGGUAUUUCCUCUUGCUACCUGUCUUAUGGUG